AACGUCUCAGUUCGGAUUGUAGUCUGCAACUCGACUACAUGAAGCUGGAAUCGCUAGUAAUCGCGAAUCAGAAUGUCGCGGUGAAUACGUUCCCGGGCCUUGUACACACCGCCCGUCAAGCCAUGGGAGCCGGGGGUGCCUGAAGUUCGUUACCGUAAGGAUCGACCUAGGGCAAAACUGGUGACUGGGGCUAAGUCGUAACAAGGUAGC
This 210-nucleotide ribosomal RNA is filed under the name uncultured bacterium. RNAcentral describes it as "partial 16S ribosomal RNA". It matches the Rfam family "Bacterial small subunit ribosomal RNA", at positions 1282 to 1500 of the family's 1533-position model. The record is from RNAcentral.